This 672-nucleotide ribosomal RNA is filed under the name uncultured bacterium. RNAcentral's name for it is "bacterial SSU rRNA". It matches the Rfam family "Bacterial small subunit ribosomal RNA", at positions 92 to 760 of the family's 1533-position model. The record is from RNAcentral.
CGAGUGGCGGACGGGUGAGGAAUACAUGGGAAUCUGCCCAGUCGUGGGGGAUAACGUAUGGAAACGUACGCUAAUACCGCAUGCGCCCUACGGGGGAAAGUCGGGGACCGCAAGGCCUGACGCGAUUGGAUGAGCCCAUGUUCGAUUAGCUAGUUGGCGGGGUAAAGGCCCACCAAGGCGACGAUCGAUAGCUGGUCUGAGAGGAUGAUCAGCCACACUGGAACUGAGACACGGUCCAGAUUCCUACGGGAGGCAGCAGUAGGGAAUAUUGGACAAUGGGGGCAACCCUGAUCCAGCCAUGCCGCGUGAGUGAAGAAGGCCCUCGGGUUGUAAAGCUCUUUUGUCCGGAAAGAAAAGCAAUCGGUUAAUACCCGGUUGUCCUGACGGUACCGGAAGAAUAAGCACCGGCUAACUUCGUGCCAGCAGCCGCGGUAAUACGAAGGGUGCAAGCGUUACUCGGAAUUACUGGGCGUAAAGCGUGCGUAGGUGGUUCGUUAAGUCUGAUGUGAAAGCCCUGGGCUCAACCUGGGAAUGGCAUUGGAUACUGGCGGGCUAGAGUGCGGUAGAGGGUAGUGGAAUUCCCGGUGUAGCAGUGAAAUGCGUAGAGAUCGGGAGGAACAUCUGUGGCGAAGGCGACUGCCUGGACCAGCACUGACACUGAGGCACGAAAGC